This 899-nucleotide long non-coding RNA is filed under the name Nicotiana benthamiana. Its description in RNAcentral is "long non-coding RNA (NBEN_LNC012350)". The record is from RNAcentral. Lineage: Eukaryota; Viridiplantae; Streptophyta; Magnoliopsida; Solanales; Solanaceae.
AUCGGAAAAGGAAAGGACAACAACAACAACUACCCAGUAUACUCCCAUCAGGUCAGGUAGGGUCUGGGGAAGGUAAUAUGUAGACAGCCUUACCCCUACCCAAAAGGGCAGAGAGGCUGCUUCCAAGCGACCCUCGGCGCAUAGGACAGAAUGAAAAGCACACACACUCAUCUGCACACAUCUAUCUAUAUAAUACCCACACCUCACAAACAAGAACGGAUCGGAAAAGGAAAGGACAACAACAACAACUACCCAGUAUACUCCCAUCAGGUCAGGUAGGGUCUGGGGAAGGUAAUAUGUAGACAGCCUUACCCCUACCCAAAAGGGCAGAGAGGCUGCUUCCAAGCAACCCUCGGCGCAUAUGACAGAAUGAAAAGCUACAUUGGAAAACAAAGGAAAGGACAGAUAACGAGAAAGAGAAAGGUGAGAAUUUUAUCGAGAAGAGAAAACAAAAGCACUGUUCUUAUAUACUCAAGGUUUAUUUGAAAUACUGUGGAGUUUAUGUUAUUUUAGUUUGAAGAUGGAGCUCGAGAUUUUGUUUGCGGUUUCGAAUUUAAGGUUUUAGAAAAAUUAGUAUCGCUCGCUUUAGAAUCAGUAAAUUGUGACUGUAAUUUUAUUAUAAAAUCUUUACGAAAAGAUAACAUCCGAAUCUUCAUCAAGAUAAGAUAUGAUUUGUUGGUUCUAUAUGUGUUUAUGGAGGGAUCAAGAUGGAGACUAAUUAAAGUGAUCCUUUUGUAUCAUGUCGAAUUGUCGAUAGUAUAGUGCCUAAUUUGUAUAUAAAGAUUUUGUUCUAGAUGUGUCAUUAAAUUUGUGAAAUACUCUUUAGUUUAUUUGAUUCAUGCAUUUCAGUUUCAUACGUAUAAAAGUCCAUGUUAUUCAUUAUGUUAAUUAUGUUUAAG